This 460-nucleotide ribosomal RNA is filed under the name uncultured bacterium. RNAcentral's name for it is "partial 16S ribosomal RNA". It matches the Rfam family "Bacterial small subunit ribosomal RNA", at positions 338 to 795 of the family's 1533-position model. The record is from RNAcentral.
CCUACGGGUGGCAGCAGUGAGGAAUAUUGGUCAAUGUGCGGAAGCCUGAACCAGCCAAGUCGCGUGAGGGAUUAAGGCCCUGCGGGUCGUAAACCUCUUUUGCCGGGGAGCAACGGGCGUCACGUGUGGCGCCACUGAGAGUACCCGGAGAAAAAGCAUCGGCUAACUCCGUGCCAGCAGCCGCGGUAAUACGGGGGAUGCGAGCGUUAUCCGGAUUUAUGGGGUUUAAGGGGUGCGUAGGCGGAUCGUUAAGUCGGUGGUAAAAUUGAGGGGCUCAACCCCUUCCCGCCAUUGAAACUGGCGCUCUUGAGUGGAAGAGAAGUAUGCGGAAUGCGUGGUGUAGCGGUGAAAUGCAUAGAUAUCACGCAGAACCCCGAUUGCGAAGGCAGCAUGCCGGCUUCCGACUGACGCUGAAGCACGAAAGCGUGGGGAUCGAACAGGAUUAGAUACCCCGGUAGUC